RNAcentral lists this transfer RNA (82 nucleotides) under Apaloderma vittatum (bar-tailed trogon). It matches the Rfam family "tRNA". From Rfam's summary of the family: Transfer RNA (tRNA) molecules are approximately 80 nucleotides in length. Their secondary structure includes four short double-helical elements and three loops (D, anti-codon, and T loops). The record is from Rfam by way of RNAcentral. Lineage: Eukaryota; Metazoa; Chordata; Aves; Trogoniformes; Trogonidae.
GGCCGAUUAGCUCAGUGGUUUGAGCGUGGUGCUGACAAUAAUGACUGACACCAAGGUCGCGAGUUCAAUUCCCGCUCAGUCC